Molecule: non-coding RNA, 395 nt
Organism: Salmo salar (Atlantic salmon)
Lineage: Eukaryota; Metazoa; Chordata; Actinopteri; Salmoniformes; Salmonidae
Source: RefSeq, a predicted model, not a curated record
AGUUGAUCAUCUUUAGUUCUCAGAAAGAGAGGUGAAGUUAUUGGUGCGUACUUUCUCAUCCGAGUAGUCUACAGGUCCUAGCCGACACAACGUCUCUGAUAUUCUCAGAGACAUAAAAGGACAUGGAUAUGAAGCCUCUGAUGAUUCUCCUCCUGCUAGCAGCAAACUUGCAAGGAAUCACCACCACCACUCCUGCAGCAGCUGCUACCACCAACACCCCUGCAGCAGCUGUCACCACCACCACUCCUGCAGCAGCUGUCACCACCACCACUCCUGCAGCAGCUGUCACCACCACCACUCCUGCAGCAGCUGCUACCACCACCACCCCUGCAGCAGCUGUCACCACCACCACUCCUGCAGCAGCUGUCACCACCACCACUCCUGCAGCAGCUGUC